Long non-coding RNA from Mytilus trossulus (common blue mussel), 1571 nucleotides. RefSeq lists it as uncharacterized. The transcript has 3 exons. Lineage: Eukaryota; Metazoa; Mollusca; Bivalvia; Mytilida; Mytilidae. The record is from RefSeq and is a predicted model, not a curated record.
AAAAAUAUUGUCAGUCAGGGGAAACGACUCUAUUACUCUAAUGGAAGCGCCAUCUUGAUGCUAAGAAAGUUCUUUUCCUGUUUAAGAAAAGGUUGAUUUAGCGGAUCGUAUAUAUCAGAAUGACAAAAAUGUCAGCUUCUGGUGGAAGACAAGUAAAGAAUUCAUGAGAAACCCAUUCUUUAACACUGUUAUAUUCAGUGCCAUCUGAGCUGACAACUGCACCAGAAAUAGAUAUUUUAAUAGGGACACUUAUAUCUGGAUACUGGGGAAUACAGCAAAAGAAAUUUAGUAAGGACAGCUGUGGGAACUUCAGGACACUACUGGAUGCUCGUGUGAUUGUGGAUUGAUCGGUAAUGGAAAUACAGUGUCACAUACAGAUGCUGAUGUUGAAUCUAUGUACAUAUGAUCCAAAGAAAUGACUUUUACAUUUUCUUCAGAUUUUGUUCCUAAGCUUCUUAUUGAAUAUACAAACUUUUCAUGGAGUUCUAAAGUUGUCUGAAAUUUUUGGAAUUGUGUUUGUAAAAAAGACUCAAUUUUUUGACAUUCGUGUUUAUGAAAGCAAAAAGACUCUUUUGUAAUUUUUUCAUACUCAUAUUUUAAAUAAUUUAAAAAAUAUUCUAAGUGUGCCUUUAUUGGACUGUUAUGUUCUGUCAUCUGUACAAUAAUUUCUACUCCCGAAAUUAAAUAGUUUUCUCUUUGUCUGAGAAAUUUCAAUAAAUUGUCUAUGUUUAUGUGAUCAAAACAUCUAUACUGGAUGUUUGCUGUAUUCCUGGAAAUAUUUUUAUCUGAAUUUGGUGGGGUUGUUUCAAUGGUUUUGAAACUGCCAACAUCUGUGAAUUCACACAUUUUCUUGUAGUUCAUUUCUGAUGUUUAAUACACAUGUACUGAAAAAAAGAGUCGGGUCGUCCAAACAAGGAAAAAUAAUAUUGACCAAAUGAGCAAUGAAAAUGCGGUAAAGUUCAGAUUAAACCAAACAGGCUUACAUGUAUACUUUUCAAGCAUUCUUUAUACCAAAUAUAAUUGACUUACUGCUUACAUAAGUUCACAAAAUUACCAAAUCAAGAAAGUUAUGAAACCUGAACAUUUAUUAUUGAUCCAAUAAAUCAGUUUGAGGUAAAAUGAACCCUGAGUUGUAGACUUGCAGACCUUUUUUGUUAUUUUUAUGUUCUUAUGUUUGGCCAUUUGUUUUCUUGUUUGAAUUGUUUUACAUUAUUAUUUUUGGUCCUUUGAAAGCUGACUAUGUUAUCAGGGUGUUUUAUAGGUGACUAUGCGGUACGGGCUUUGCUCAUUGUUGAAGGCCAUACGGUGACCUAUAGUUGUUGAUGUCUUUGUGAUUUUGGUCUUUUGUGGAUAGUUGUCUCAUUGGCAAUCAUACCACAUCUUCUUUUUUAUAUGUGAUAUGGGCUUUGUCAAUUUUUGACUGGCGUACAGUGAUCUAUAGUUUUUAAUUUCUGUUUUAUUUUGAAUUGUUUUGGAGAGUUGUUUCAUUGGCCAUUAUACCACACGGCAAGUUGUCUAAUUGACAAUCCUAACACAUCUUCUUGUAAAUACUGCAGGAACCUAUACUUUAU